GACGUAGGGUGCGAGCGUUGUCCGGAUUUAUUGGGCGUAAAGAGCUCGUAGGCGGCUCGUCGCGUCGACCGUGAAAACCCGCGGCUUAACUGCGGGCUUGCGGUUGAUACGGGCGGGCUAGAGUUCGGUAGGGGAGACUGGAAUUCCUGGUGUAGCGGUGAAAUGCGCAGAUAUCAGGAGGGACACCGGUGGCGAAGGCGGGUCUCUGGGCCGAUACUGACGCUGAGGAGCGAAAGCGUGGGGAGCGAACAGG
RNAcentral lists this ribosomal RNA (253 nucleotides) under uncultured bacterium. RNAcentral describes it as "partial 16S ribosomal RNA". It matches the Rfam family "Bacterial small subunit ribosomal RNA", at positions 524 to 776 of the family's 1533-position model. The record is from RNAcentral.